This 463-nucleotide long non-coding RNA is filed under the name Homo sapiens (human). Its description in RNAcentral is "non-protein coding lnc-TMED5-6:1". Lineage: Eukaryota; Metazoa; Chordata; Mammalia; Primates; Hominidae. The record is from RNAcentral.
AACACAAUAGUGAAAGCUGCGCUCCUGAUCGUCGGCAGGCUGGCACUGUUAUACAGGAAAAGGGUCGUGUGCGACCUUCGGUGUGCGUGGUCGUAACGGUGCUCUGUGCAUCUUGCUGGGCCGAUUUCUUUUCCCUGGAGAAAACCUUAACUGAAGCACGUUUCCUCUACUUUCAUCCUAAGGCCUGCUGUUAGAAUUUCCUUCAGAGGGGAGAAGACCCAGGAUGUCGAGAUUAAAUUUUAUUCAGCGAUUCACUGUCCAGUCCCAAACUCCUUAUCAGGAGCUGCUUUUAUGAAAGACUUUCAGACGAUUUUUUUCCUAACGAUGAAAGGUUGUUUUCUGUUUACCCGCUUUGCAGUCCUUCCUAGUUGUAAUGAAAUCUGAGAAUAGUCCCCUGCAAAAUGGUUUAAGAAAACAGAAUUGUUUAUUAGUGCAGACCCUUAGCCUGCCCAGAUUCUGCUGC